AUGUUGGGAAGUUUGUUCAGCGGUGCCACAUUGCAAGGGCUAGGUCCAGAACACAGGGUUAUACAUGUCUUUGUCUGUUCCUGUUGCUCCAUGGGAGGAUAUCUCUAUGGACUUCGUCUUGGGUUAGCCAAGAACAGACGAGGGAAUGAUGCUGUGUUUGUGGUCGUGGACAGAUUCUCUAAAAUGGCUCAUUUCAUGCCAUGCCGCAAGACAACAGAUGCUAUCAUGUGGCAAACCUAUUCUUUCGAGAAGUGGUCAGACUUCAUGGAGUUCCAAGGUCCAUCGUCUCAAACCGCGAUAGCAAGUUUCUUGCUGCAUUUUGGCUCACUUUGUGGAAGCAAGUCAACACUGCAUUCAAAUUUUCUAGCACUGCCUAUCCACAAACAGAUGGACAAAUGGAAGUGGUGA
RNAcentral lists this ribosomal RNA (408 nucleotides) under Triticum aestivum (bread wheat). RNAcentral's name for it is "partial small subunit ribosomal RNA". Lineage: Eukaryota; Viridiplantae; Streptophyta; Magnoliopsida; Poales; Poaceae. The record is from RNAcentral.